This 909-nucleotide ribosomal RNA is filed under the name Parascedosporium putredinis. RNAcentral's name for it is "LSU rRNA". It matches the Rfam family "Eukaryotic large subunit ribosomal RNA", at positions 38 to 967 of the family's 3401-position model. Lineage: Eukaryota; Fungi; Ascomycota; Sordariomycetes; Microascales; Microascaceae. The record is from RNAcentral.
GCAUAUCAAUAAGCGGAGGAAAAGAAACCAACAGGGAUUGCCUCAGUAACGGCGCAGUGAAGCGUGCAACAGCUCAAAUUUGAAAUCUGGUCACCUCACGGAGGCCCGAGUUGUAAUUUGAAGAGGAUGCUUUUGGCGAGGUGCCUUCCGAGUGCCCUGGAACGGGACGCCACAGAGGGUGAGAGCCCCGUAUGGUUGGACGCCGAGCCUAUGUAAAGCUCCUUCGACGAGUCGAGUAGUUUGGGAAUGCUGCUCAAAAUGGGAGGUAAACCCCUUCUAAAGCUAAAUAUUGGCCAGAGACCGAUAGCGCACAAGUAGAGUGAUCGAAAGAUGAAAAGCACUUUGAAAAGAGAGUUAAAAAGCACGUGAAAUUGUUGAAAGGGAAGCGCUUGCGACCAGACUUGCGCCCGUCGGAUCAACCGUCGCUUGUCGGCGGCUCACUCCGGCGGGCUCAGGCCAGCAUCAGUUUCCCCGGGGGGAGAAAGGCGGUGGGAAUGUAGCUCCUAGGAGUGUUAUAGCCCGCCGCGUAAUACCUUCGGGGGGACUGAGGACCGCGCAUCUGCAAGGAUGCUGGCGUAAUGGUUGUCAGCGACCCGUCUUGAAACACGGACCAAGGAGUCGUCCUAAUAUGCGAGUGUACGGGUGUCAAACCCCUGCGCGGAAUGAAAGUAAACGGAGGUGAGAGCUUCGGCGCAUCAUCGACCGAUCCUGAUGUUCUCGGAUGGAUUUGAGUAAGAGCAUAUUGGGCCGGACCCCGAAAGAAGGUGAACUAUGCCUGUAUAGGGGUGAAGCCAGAGGAAACUCUGGUGGAGGCUCGCAGCGGUUCUGACGUGCAAAUCGAUACGUCAAAUCAUGGGCAUGGGGGCGAAAGACUAAUCGAACCUUCUAGUAGCUGGUUCCCGCCGAAAC